UUUUCCCCUUUUUAAUCCCCGUUUUACAGGCGAUGGAACUUACCAGAGACCAAAUAGCUAGAGAAUGGCUGAACUGGGUUUUGAAUCUAGUAAAUCUUGACCCCAGAGCUCUCCAGCCUAAAGAAAAAGCAUGCUGAUCUGAACUCUGGAAGAGAACCUUUGUCAAUCAAUAUCUAGCGUUGUCCCAGGAAGAGAGAUUCAAUGUGUAGCAGACACUGGAAAGCCUACCUUAUAUAAGUGCAAGGGGAUCUGCGCUGACCCUGCCCCAUUUAUUCAAGUGAGUAAAUUCCCCUUGCCAUGACCUAUUAUCUGUCAAGAAAUCUCAUCACAAAUACCAUUUUCUAAGUACCAUAAUAACUGAGAACAACUAUGAAGAAAAACAGAUAACAGAUAAUAGUUGCUGUGAAAAUAUGGCCAAAUUGUAAAUUAACAGUUUAAUAUGCUGGAUUUAAAAUCACCACACAAUGAAUUUAUAAUUGGUAUGAAACUCUUAAGUAGAUCUGAUCAUAUCUAAAAAAACUGGUAAAAAUUAGUUUCUGAACUUUGCCAGAAUCAAAGAUUAGGAUUCUUAUUGACCCAAAAAGACAGAUAAAUGAAGAAUAUCCAAGUUAAGAAAGUUAAACAGCCUCUCAAUCUACAUCAGUUUAUCAGUAUGUUUCAUGCAUUAAAUUUGUUCAAAGAAUAAAUAAACUUAAUUGAUGAAAAAGGUUUAUAUGCUUUUCAGCAAUUGUAUUCACACUGUGUUUCUUAUUUGUUUUUAUACCAUGAUAGAAUAAUAGGAUGGAAAACAUGAGACUCUGCACUAUUUUGAAUAAUUCACAAAAAAUUUUGGAAUAGAAUAUAGAUAGUUUAAGUUAAUUAGAUUGGCCCUAUGAACCAAUAAUCUAAUUUUCAAAGUAACAUGGAAGAAGUAAUUUUGGGUCACUAGCAAAAAAAUUAAAGAAAAAGCUGGAAAUAGUUUAUAAAGAGGGAAAAAAUUUUUAAACUGAAUAAUCUUUA
RNAcentral lists this long non-coding RNA (999 nucleotides) under Macaca mulatta (Rhesus monkey). Its description in RNAcentral is "lncRNA (ENSMMUG00000053918.1)". Lineage: Eukaryota; Metazoa; Chordata; Mammalia; Primates; Cercopithecidae. The record is from RNAcentral.